This 253-nucleotide ribosomal RNA is filed under the name uncultured bacterium. RNAcentral's name for it is "partial 16S ribosomal RNA". It matches the Rfam family "Bacterial small subunit ribosomal RNA", at positions 524 to 776 of the family's 1533-position model. The record is from RNAcentral.
UACGUGAGCCCCGAGCGUUAUCCGGAAUUAUUGGGCGUAAAGAGCUCGUAGGCGGUUUGUCGCGUCUGCUGUGAAAACCCGAGGCUCAACCUCGGGCCUGCAGUGGGUACGGGCAGACUAGAGUGCGGUAGGGGAGAUUGGAAUUCCUGGUGUAGCGGUGGAAUGCGCAGAUAUCAGGAGGAACACCAAUGGCGAAGGCAGAUCUCUGGGCCGUAACUGACGCUGAGGAGCGAAAGCAUGGGGAGCGAACAGG